This is a long non-coding RNA of Passer montanus (Eurasian tree sparrow), 356 nucleotides long. RefSeq lists it as uncharacterized. The record is from RefSeq and is a predicted model, not a curated record. The transcript is spliced from 3 exons. Lineage: Eukaryota; Metazoa; Chordata; Aves; Passeriformes; Passeridae.
AAAUGAAUGAUUUGGCUUCACCCAAAAUGAUGGAUAAUCCUGCUGGAAGAGCAUGACAAUGACAGACAGACAUCUUCUGAAGGAGAAGGUUUUUGAUGCACAGGUAACUCCACCGUAUCUCCUGUUAGAAGUUAAAUGCUGCAAAUUCCAUCUGAGAUGCACUGAGAUAAAAAGUCACUGCCCACCAGGGCUCAUGGGGUGUGCCCUAAGUGUGCCACACGUGGAAGUGCCUUGAAGUUUUCACAGUGCAGGAAAAUGGGGCAGGAGGAUGAUCACUGCAUGCCAAGCAAGGUAAUAUACAUAUUUUGAUCUGUUUUCUGGAACCUCAAAACAUGGAGAUACAGCACCAAUGAGAC